This is a long non-coding RNA of Physeter macrocephalus (sperm whale), 797 nucleotides long. RefSeq lists it as uncharacterized. The record is from RefSeq and is a predicted model, not a curated record. The transcript has 6 exons. NCBI's taxonomy places the organism in Eukaryota, Metazoa, Chordata, Mammalia, Artiodactyla, Physeteridae.
AUAGCGAAGCCGCGCGCUCGCUCGGCGGCCGCGGGCACCGCCGCUCCCCUGCUGCACCGACGCCGCGGCCUCAACUCGGAUUUUCUCUUGAUUCCGCGCCUCUUGGCCGGGGUCUCUUACCGUUCUAUGGAAGGUAAAUAACUAGGAGUGGAAUUGCUGAGUUGUAUGGCUCCAGAUGCGCAGGCUCAGCAGCCAUGGCUCACGGGCCCAGCAGCUCCGCGGCAUGUGGGAUCUUCCCGGACAGGGGCACGAACCCGUAUCCCCUGCAUCAGCAGGCGGACUCUCAACCACUGCGCCACCAGGGGAGACCAAAAACUUAAUUUUGAUUAAAGGUUGGAAAUCUGGGAGGUCCUUAUUCUGGGAUCAUUUAAUCUGCAGUUAUCUUGAAGGCUCCACUGUGGCUGGAGGGUCCAGGUUGUCUUCACUCAGAUGUGUGGCAGUGGGUGCUGGAUAUUGCUUGAGACUCCUCAGUUCUCCUCCACAUGAUCUCUCAUCUUCUGUUAUCAAAGUUCUUUCACAUAAAUCUCCACUUCUAAUGAACUGGUGAGAUAGAGCCCACAAGAAUAGAUUUACAUAAAGGACCAUGAGAACAUCCUGGGAAAGAACUCAAGACAGAAGAAGAGAAUCAAGACCCAUACACACAAGCUCCUGGUGUGCAGAGGAAAGCCUACUAAGUACUCAGUAGGAUGGAGGCUGUCUAUAAGCCAGGAAGAAGGGUCUCACCAGAAACCAAAUUUGCAGGAACCUGGAUCGUGGACUUCUAGCUGCCGUAACAGUGAGAAAAUAAAUGUCUGUUG